GAUCAGCUUAAAUAGGUCCACUUGAAGUUCACAACUGCCAAAACCAGUGUUCAGAUUGAAAGCAUGGGGGCAUUUGAGAAGCAUUUAUGAACUUCCUUACCCAAGAUUAUCCAGGAGGCUGAAAGCCGAAGGAGGGCGCCUGGCCCACAAACCCUUUCUUCUUGAUUAAAUUAGCGUUUCCCAUUCCCCAGGCUGAUUUCCCUUCUCUUUCUGCCUCCCCCAUCCCCCACGAACAUGCAAACUUGAUUCCCGAGCCCGGCUUUUGUGACUAAGGCUCCCUGUAAGCCCAUCAUAAACAUCUUGGUACAAAUGAA
Molecule: long non-coding RNA, 314 nt
Filed under: Lynx pardinus (Iberian lynx)
Lineage: Eukaryota; Metazoa; Chordata; Mammalia; Carnivora; Felidae
Source: RNAcentral